AGAGGAAGUAAAAGUCGUAACAAGGUUUCCGUAGGUGAACCUGCGGAAGGAUCAUUAGUGAUGUAAAAAAAAAAACCAUAAGCUGUCAAAUGAGCGAAUGGUGAGAGGACGAUGACCUAACCCGCUUGCGGGAGAGGCAUUGAAGCUGUAUUUGUGUAGUUAAAAAUACGUAUCGCGGUCUCACUCGAGUCGGAGUUAGCCGCGUGUCGCCGACAACUAGUUUGUUGGUUUGACAGCAUUUUUCUCAAUGUUAUGCUAUGGAGAAUCAAUGAAUCUAUCAAUAGCAAGACUCAAUAUGGGGGAUCACUUAGUCCUUGAAGCGAUGAAAGACAUAGCAAUUUGUGGAAAAUGAUGUGAGUUGUGAAAUUUUGUGAGCAUUGUGUUUUUGAAUGAAAAUUUCAGCAGGGAUGCAUUUGUAUCUAUGCUACAUUUGUUUCAGUAUAUAUAAAAUGUUCAAUACGUACUUGCUGUUGCUGGGAGGCAAUGGUAUAAGAUCUAUUGAAUCACAAGAGUGACGUUAGUCAGUUGAUGUAGUGUGUAUCUGAAAUCAAGUGUGAUGACCCCCUGAAUUUAAGCAUAU
Molecule: unclassified non-coding RNA, 580 nt
Filed under: Sternostoma fulicae
Lineage: Eukaryota; Metazoa; Arthropoda; Arachnida; Mesostigmata; Rhinonyssidae
Rfam family: 5.8S ribosomal RNA (bases 288-444)
Source: RNAcentral